UACGGGGGGGGCAGGCGUUGUUCGGAAUUACUGGGCGUAAAGGGCUCGUAGGUGGCCAACUAAGUCAGACGUGAAAUCCCUCGGCUUAACCGGGGAACUGCGUCUGAUACUGGAUGGCUUGAGUUCGGGAGAGGGAUGCGGAAUUCCAGGUGUAGCGGUGAAAUGCGUAGAUAUCUGGAGGAACACCGGUGGCGAAGGCGGCAUCCUGGACCGACACUGACACUGAGGAGCGAAGGCCAGGGGAGCAAACGGG
This 253-nucleotide ribosomal RNA is filed under the name uncultured bacterium. RNAcentral describes it as "partial 16S ribosomal RNA". It matches the Rfam family "Bacterial small subunit ribosomal RNA", at positions 524 to 776 of the family's 1533-position model. The record is from RNAcentral.